GAAAUGCGAUAAGUAAUGUGAAUUGCAGAAUUCAGUGAAUCAUCGAAUCUUUAAACGCACAUUGCGCCCGCCAGUAUUCUGGCGGGCAUGCCUGUUCGAGCGUCAUUUCAACCAUCAAGCCCCCCGGCUUGUGUUGGGGACCUGCGGCUGCCGCAGGCCCUGAAAAGCAGUGGCGGGCUCGCUGUCACACCGAGCGUAGUAGCAUACAUCUCGCUCUGGGCGUGCUGCGGGUUCCGGCCGUUAAACCACCUUCGUAACCCAAGGUUGACCUCGGAUCAGGUAGGAAGACCCGCUGAACUUAAGC
RNAcentral lists this unclassified non-coding RNA (304 nucleotides) under plant metagenome. RNAcentral describes it as "partial contains 5.8S ribosomal RNA, internal transcribed spacer 2, and large subunit ribosomal RNA". The stretch from base 1 to 105 matches the Rfam family "5.8S ribosomal RNA", at positions 50 to 154 of the family's 154-position model. The record is from RNAcentral.